This is a long non-coding RNA of Chinchilla lanigera (long-tailed chinchilla), 1911 nucleotides long. RefSeq lists it as uncharacterized. The record is from RefSeq and is a predicted model, not a curated record. The transcript is spliced from 5 exons. NCBI's taxonomy places the organism in Eukaryota, Metazoa, Chordata, Mammalia, Rodentia, Chinchillidae.
UUCUCUCGCGAGCCUGGAGGGGCCUGGCAGCCCAGUUGCCCCGCCUCCUGAGGCCUUGGGUAGGGCUACUUGUGAACGCCUUUGCUACCUGAACUGUGUGAGCACUCUUUGAUGCAUCUCCCCCAACCUCUAUGGAUGCAAACCCACUGAUGAGAGGCUGGCUGCAUCAUCAUCUACACUUGACAGAGACGGAGGGAACUGAAGAUGCUGGCUGCCAGGUGGAGGAUCCACAGUUGAGGAAGAAGUCCAUGUGGAGCUAAAGCCUAAUACUGGAAAUUCACUCACUAAGGAAAAACAAUGGAAGUCUGGAGUGUGGGAAGGAAGACAGGAGCAGCAGUUGGAGGAUAAACUGAGGCACAACUGGUGAUUGCAGGGAGAGUGGCCUAAAUCCACUCAGAUAAAUCUCUCUUCCAGAAAGGGAGGCAGAAGAGAAAUCACACAGCACCUUAAGGCCUUGAAAAUUGCUGGUUCAUGAACAAACUACAAGAUGGACAACAUCUCCCUAGAGCUUCAUGUCAACAGAAGUGAGGCUUUUGGAAUGUGAUUGGAUCAUGGGGUGCUACGUUCAUCAGAACUGAAAGUACAUUAGAAGGUUUGUUUGCUGUUCAGGCACCUCUCAAGUGAACAUUCUCUGAAGACUGCUCAGGCUCCACAAGGCCACAGGAAGCAAAGGAUCCCCAAGGCAGCCACUGCAGUGGUGGGUGUGGGAGGAGGGUUGCAAAUGACACCAGGAAAUUGGAAGCGCUACUUCUUUUAGAUGCUUAUUCUCAGUAGAUGCCACCUCUGAAGGGAACUGUAAUCCAGCCCAACUAAAAAUAGACUCCACAAUCAUUCCGUUUGGUUCCUGUCUCUCUGAAACACUGGUCUUUUUUGUUUCUCUGCCUUACAUCUGCAUGGCCUGGCAGCCUUGGACAGCACUCCUAGCCAUACAUAGAAGGGACCAACAUGUACAGGGACUGCUUAAUUCACAUUUCUCAGGCCCCACAAGAAGGGGCAUGAUGACACCUCUCACCCAUGGCGAUGGUGGCUGCUAUCAAAACACCAGAUAUGUACAACAGAGGGAGAGCCUGCAGAGAAAAUGGGACCCUGGUGCACUGUGGUGGGAUUGUAAAAUAGUGCAAUGGUUGCACUUGCUUUGAAUGAGCAUGAAUGAGGCUGUCAUGGACUGAAUCGUGUUCCCCUAGAUUCAUAUAUUGCAGCACAAACCUCUAAUGUGAUUGUAUGUGAUGCUUAAGGAGAUUAUUAAUGAAUGGGAUCACAGUGACCCUAAUCUAGUAGUAUUAUAGGCAGCUAAAUUAGAUAGAAAUUAAUAUAUAGUCAGAGAGACUAGGCUGUUAAGGAAGUCAGCAAAAAAAAAAUAAAGACGUUAGAAUUGUGACUGGAGGUGCAGCCAAAGAAUGCCAGGCCUCAAGAUAAAGAUGCAAUAGCCAGGCCUACAUGUUUCCCCGAAGGGAUAAGCAGUAACUUGGAAUUAUACUAUAGUUGGUAUACUAUAGUUGGUCCAGUAAAAGUACAGAUAAACAUCAGUUGGUCAGGUGGGUGAUAAGAGUAUCUGGACCCAUCCUUUCCCAAAAUGCCUUUGUUUUUUCCAUGUACUCUUGCAAUGUAACCUGCUUCUCUAUUGGAGCAAUAUUAGCUAAGCAUCUAUACUUGAAAUCCUAUGGGUUGAUAAUAAUUUGACCCAUGUUGUACCCACACUGUGUCUUUGCUGUAUACAUUACCCCUGACAAAGCGCCUACCUCUUUCUGGUCCCUUCCUGUCUCUCAGGAGCUAUAUCUCUCAAUAAAAUUUUCAUAUUCUUAAUCUCUGUUGUUCAUUCUUUGAUUUCAGGGAACACAAACUCCGUGUACCUGAAAUCUAGCAGAUGGGAAUUAUACUUUUCCCCCUAAAUUGAUAGGAAUGGCUAAAAAA